Small nuclear RNA from Balaenoptera musculus (blue whale), 165 nucleotides. Its record names the gene U1. It matches the Rfam family "U1 spliceosomal RNA". Rfam says of the family: U1 is a small nuclear RNA (snRNA) component of the spliceosome (involved in pre-mRNA splicing). Its 5' end forms complementary base pairs with the 5' splice junction, thus defining the 5' donor site of an intron. Lineage: Eukaryota; Metazoa; Chordata; Mammalia; Artiodactyla; Balaenopteridae. The record is from Ensembl.
AUACAUACCUGGCAGGGGAGGUACCAUGAUCUCGAAGGUAGUUCUCCCAGGGGGAGGUUUAUACAUUGCCCUUUGGAUGUGCUGACCCUUGCGAUUUCCCCAAGUGUGGGAAACUCAACUGCAUAAUUUGUAGCAGUUGGGGGACUGUGUUUAUGGUUUCCCCAG